This 418-nucleotide ribosomal RNA is filed under the name uncultured eukaryote. RNAcentral's name for it is "bacterial SSU rRNA". It matches the Rfam family "Eukaryotic small subunit ribosomal RNA", at positions 592 to 1018 of the family's 1831-position model. The record is from RNAcentral.
CAAUAGCGUAUAUUAAAGUUGUUGCAGUUAAAAAGCUCGUAGUUGGACUUCUGGGCUGAUUUGUUGGUCUGCCGCAAGGCUGCACUAGCGAGUUGGCCCAUCCUCUCGAAGGCUGGUGGUGCUCUUAACUGGGUGCUAUCAGAACUCGGGAUCUUUACUUUGAAAAAAUUAGAGUGUUCAAAGCAGGCUUACGCUUGAAUACAUUAGCAUGGAAUAAUGGAAUAGGACUUUGGUUCUAUUUUGUUGGUUUCUAGAACUGAAGUAAUGAUUAAUAGGGAUAGUUGGGGGCAUUAGUAUUUAAUUGUCAGAGGUGAAAUUCUUGGAUUUAUGAAAGACUAACUUCUGCGAAAGCAUUUGCCAAGGAUGUUUUCAUUAAUCAAGAACGAAAGUUAGGGGAUCGAAGAUGAUCAGAUACCGU